AAACUAACAAGGAUUCCCCUAGUAACGGCGAGUGAAGAGGGAAAAGCUCAAAGUUGGAACCUGUUUGGCUUAGCUAAACCGGAUUGUAAACUAAAGAGCCGUUUUCCAGACGAGCUAAGCAAAAAAGUCCCUUGGAACAGGGCAUCAUAGAGGGUGAGAAUCCCGUCUUUGGCUUAAGCGAUUUCGUCUUUAUGUGAUACGGCUUCAAAGAGUCAGGUUGUUUGGGAAUGCAGCCUAAAGUGGGUGGUAAAUCUCAUCUAAAGCUAAAUAUUGGCGAGAGACCGAUAGCGAACAAGUACCGUGAGGGAAAGAUGAAAAGAACUUUGAAAAGAGAGUUAAACAGUAUGUGAAAUUGCUGAAAGGGAACCGUUUGAGGUUAGACUAGCUGGUCAGUAAUCAAUCUUGGUUUCGACCAUGAUGCACUUGCUGGCCUUUGGCUAGCCAACGACAGUUUUUUCUGUAGGAAAAAAUGUGCAGGAAUGUGGCUCUUCGGAGUGUUAUAGCCUGCUAUAGAAUACUACGGAAGAGACUGAGGCUCGCAGCGAACGCUAUUAUGGCGAGGAUCAGGUUAACUUUGUGAUAAUGUGUGCUACUACUCAGCUUGCUGCGGUAAUGCAUGUUGUUGUUUGGUAUUGGCUUGUUUACCUUUAGUUCGCUUGGGUCGUUGGCUUAAUGACCUUAAAUGAC
This 687-nucleotide ribosomal RNA is filed under the name Phycomyces blakesleeanus. RNAcentral's name for it is "eukaryotic LSU rRNA". It matches the Rfam family "Eukaryotic large subunit ribosomal RNA", at positions 62 to 648 of the family's 3401-position model. Lineage: Eukaryota; Fungi; Mucoromycota; Mucoromycetes; Mucorales; Phycomycetaceae. The record is from RNAcentral.